CCUCCCGGUACCUGAGCUCGAUGGCGCCCUCUCCCUCACUCUCUUUACCCUCUGUCCUCUCCCUCCCGAGCUCUCUCCCCCACAACUGAGAGGAUCUCUCGCUCUCCCCGAAGCCCAUCAACGUAAGCACAGGGCCCUCUCCCUCCUGGAUCUGGCGACACAACUCCCUUCCUCCCCAUUGACGGCGGCGCAGGGAGUGAUCCGACGAGUGGUGGCCUCCCCCUCCCUCCCGAGGCCACCUCUCUUCCUCCCAGAGGCGAUGCAGCUCUCUCCCUCC
This 277-nucleotide long non-coding RNA is filed under the name Sorghum bicolor (sorghum). RNAcentral describes it as "long non-coding RNA (SBIC_LNC009626)". The record is from RNAcentral. Lineage: Eukaryota; Viridiplantae; Streptophyta; Magnoliopsida; Poales; Poaceae.